CCUACGGGAGGCAGCAGUAGGGAAUCUUCCACAAUGGACGAAAGUCUGAUGGAGCAACGCCGCGUGAGUGAUGAAGGUUUUCGGAUCGUAAAACUCUGUUGUAAGGGAAGAACAAGUACGAGAGGGAAUGCUCGUACCUUGACGGUACCUUGCGAGAAAGCCACGGCUAACUACGUGCCAGCAGCCGCGGUAAUACGUAGGUGGCAAGCGUUGUCCGGAAUUAUUGGGCGUAAAGCGCGCGCAGGCGGCCUUUUAAGUCUGAUGUGAAAGCCCCCGGCUCAACCGGGGAGGGUCAUUGGAAACUGGAAGGCUUGAGUACAGAAGAGAAGAGUGGAAUUCCAUGUGUAGCGGUGAAAUGCGUAGAGAUGUGGAGGAACACCAGUGGCGAAGGCGACUCUUUGGUCUGUAACUGACGCUGAGGCGCGAAAGCGUGGGGAGCAAACAGGAUUAGAUACCCUGGUAGUCCACGCCGUAAACGAUGAGUGCUAGGUGUUGGGGGGUUUCCGCCCCUUCAGUGCUGAAGCUAACGCAUUAAGCACUCCGCCUGGGGAUACGGCCGCAAGGCUGAAACUCAAAGGAAUUGACGGCNGAGAGAGCGACGACGACGACGAGGGAGGAGG
This 620-nucleotide ribosomal RNA is filed under the name uncultured bacterium. RNAcentral's name for it is "bacterial SSU rRNA". It matches the Rfam family "Bacterial small subunit ribosomal RNA", at positions 338 to 951 of the family's 1533-position model. The record is from RNAcentral.